GCCAGUGUGGCAUAGCGGUUUGAGUACUGGACUGUGACUCUGGAGAUUGGGGUUCAAUUCUCCGCAUGGCCA
Phrynosoma platyrhinos (Desert horned lizard) is the source of this 72-nucleotide non-coding RNA. NCBI's taxonomy places the organism in Eukaryota, Metazoa, Chordata, Lepidosauria, Squamata, Phrynosomatidae. The record is from the annotation of a GenBank genome assembly.